GACGAACGCUGGCGGCGUGCUUAACACAUGCAAGUCGAACGGUAAGGCCCUUUCGGGGGUACACGAGUGGCGAACGGGUGAGUAACACGUGGGUGAUCUGCCCUGCACUUUGGGAUAAGCCUGGGAAACUGGGUCUAAUACCGGAUAGGACUACGCGAUGCAUGUCGUGUGGUGGAAAGCUUUUGCGGUGUGGGAUGGGCCCGCGGCCUAUCAGCUUGUUGGUGGGGUGAUGGCCUACCAAGGCGACGACGGGUAGUCGGCCUGAGAGGGUGUCCGGCCACACUGGGACUGAGAUACGGCCCAGACUCCUACGGGAGGCAGCAGUGGGGAAUAUUGCACAAUGGGCGCAAGCCUGAUGCAGCGACGCCGCGUGGGGGAUGACGGCCUUCGGGUUGUAAACCCCUUUCAGCACAGACGAAGCGUAAGUGACGGUAUGUGCAGAAGAAGCACCGGCCAACUACGUG
This 464-nucleotide ribosomal RNA is filed under the name uncultured bacterium. RNAcentral's name for it is "partial 16S ribosomal RNA". It matches the Rfam family "Bacterial small subunit ribosomal RNA", at positions 28 to 507 of the family's 1533-position model. The record is from RNAcentral.